CCUACGGGAGGCAGCAGUGAGGAAUAUUGGUCAAUGGUCGGGAGACUGAACCAGCCAAGCCGCGUGAGGGAGGAAGGUACAGAGUAUCGUAAACCUCUUUUGUCAGGGAACAAAGACUGGGACGCGUCUCCGGUUGAGCGUACCUGAAGAAAAAGCAUCGGCUAACUCCGUGCCAGCAGCCGCGGUAAUACGGGGGAUGCGGGCGUUAUCCGGAUGUAUUGGGGUAAAAGGGUGGGCAGGGGGACUGUUAAGUCAGCGGUCAAAGCCCGGGGCUCAACCCCGGCCCGCCGUUGAAACUGGCAGUCUCGAGUUGGAGAGAAGUAAGCGGAAUUCGCGGUGUAGCGGUGAAAUGCAUAGAUAUCGCGCAGAACUCCGAUUGCGAAGGCAGCAUGCCGGCUCCACACUGACGCUGAGGCACGAAAGCGUGGGUAUCGAACAGGAUUAGAUACCCUAGUAGUC
This 459-nucleotide ribosomal RNA is filed under the name uncultured bacterium. RNAcentral's name for it is "partial 16S ribosomal RNA". It matches the Rfam family "Bacterial small subunit ribosomal RNA", at positions 338 to 795 of the family's 1533-position model. The record is from RNAcentral.